Molecule: ribosomal RNA, 292 nt
Filed under: uncultured bacterium
Lineage: Bacteria
Description: partial 16S ribosomal RNA
Rfam family: Bacterial small subunit ribosomal RNA
Source: RNAcentral
GUGUCAGCAGCCGCGGUAAUACAGAGGGUGCGAGCGUUAAUCGGAAUUACUGGGCGUAAAGCGCACGUAGUCGGCUUGCCAAGUCGGGUGUGAAAUCCCCGGGCUCAACCUGGGAACUGCAUCCGAAACUGGCUUGCUAGAGUAUGGGAGAGGGAGGCGGAAUUUCUGGUGUAGCAGUGAAAUGCGUAGAUAUCAGAAGGAACAUCAGUGGCGAAGGCGGCCUCCUGGACCAAUACUGACGAUCAGGUGCGAAAGCGUGGGGAGCAAACAGGAUUAGAAACCCUCGUAGUCC